UCACCGCUUGCGCGGGCAGUCUCACUAGAGUGCCCGACAUUACUCGCUGGCAACUAACGAUAAGGGUUGCGCUCGUUGCGGGACUUAACCCAACAUCUCACGACACGAGCUGACGACAGCCAUGCAGCACCUCCGCAGCGGUUCUUGCGAAAAGGGAUAUUUCUAUCCCGGUCCACUGCGCUUCGAGCCCAGGUAAGGUUCCUCGCGUUGCGUCGAAUUGAACCACAUGCUCCACCGCUUGUGCGGGCCCCCGUCAAUUCCUUUGAGUUUCAGCCUUGCGACUGUACUCCCCAGGCGGCAUAUUUAACGCGUUAGCUCCGGCACGGACAGAAUGAACUGCCCACACCAAAUAUGCAUCGUUUAGGGCGUGGACUAC
This 376-nucleotide unclassified non-coding RNA is filed under the name uncultured Bryobacterales bacterium. Its description in RNAcentral is "contains 16S-23S intergenic spacer region". Lineage: Bacteria; Pseudomonadati; Acidobacteriota; Terriglobia; Bryobacterales. The record is from RNAcentral.